UAUUUAGUAGGGGACCCCAUGCAGGAGGACGCCCACUGGAGCUCUGGAGUGUGGGACAUUCCCAAACCUAAACUGUUAACUGAGACCUGGAACUGUAGCCGAGUCACAUAUUCUUCUUUUUUUGAGACGUAGUUUGGUUCUUGUUACCCAGGCUGGAGUGCAGUGGCGCGAUCUCGGCUCACUGCAACCUCCGCCUCCCCGGUUCAAGUGAUUCUCCUGCCUCAGCCUAACAAGUAGCUGGGGUUACAGGCAUGCGCCACCACGCCUGGCUAAUUUUUUUGUAUUUUUAUUAGAGACAGGGUUUCACCAUGUUGGCCACGCGAGUCGUAUAUUCUUGUGGUGAUAGUGGCCUUAGGAAAAAAAAACAAAAACGCCUUCUUGGAUGACGUAAGGUAGAAGCCGCAGAAGCCUUGUUAAACAGUGCGUCUGGUCUGUGGGGCGGCUUUUGGAUAAACCCCUAGAAAAUGUGAAAACUGUCACGGGAAGAAGGGGCUGUACAGUGGAUGUUAAGUUGGGUGAAGUUUACGGUUCCACCCAUGAAUACUGAGCUUCAUCUGCCAACCUCGCAGGCCACUUUUCUUCAGCUCAAAGCUGAGGAUUUUUAAGCAGAUUUUCUGACAAUGAGAGGGGAGCAGAUAUGCUUCCUGCUCUUUAAGCGAUCUCGCUGGGAUCCUAGUCAUCCAUCUAGUGAAGUCAAGAACCCAUUAGGGUUCCACCGACCCAGGCUUUUUGUGCCCAAGUCACAGAUUCUUCCAAGUCAGACAAGCCUAGGGGCUUCUACCACACACGACAUAACUAUUUUCUUUCUGUUCCUUUCUUUUCCCUAUCAAAGUUCUCUCAGGCUCUCAUAAUGAUACAAACAUGGGUUUUACCAUCCUCCAUGAGACAGGAAAGACAAUUCUUGAAAUGACUUUUAAGUCACUUUGAUGUCAUUAGAGAAGUCAUUUAACAAGCGUGUUAUUGAGUUUAAAAAAUUAAAAGACUAUGGCCUUUGGUGACUUCCCUCCUUGGUGGGGCACUAUACUUUGCUCUCUAGCUGUUGCAGCCUUUUUUAUGGCUUGCAGGUUAAGUUAGGUGUGUGAGCUGCGCAAAAGCUCUGUAGUUUGUUAAUGAAAGCAAACGCUGUGGGCCUGACUUGGAACUGCACCUGGAUGUGGACUCACCCAAGUUGCUGGGCAUUGUGGGAUGGGAGGAAGGUGUUUUUCCUGAGACCAGAACUAGGAAAGUGAGAAAGGUUCCUGGUAGCAGGGAACCUGAACGAAGGACUACCUUUAAAAUUUCGGGGAAGGGCGAGGGUUUGUUCUUAAAACCCAUUUUUAGAAUAGGUUAAACCUAUAUACAAAUAGUAGCAUUCAUGGUGGCAGUACUUAGAGAAGAUUCAUCACAGUGGUUGGGAACGUAAAGGAAACGACAGUGGGGAUGGGCAAGCCUGGGAUUAGAAAAAAUAUGACCUCUUCCUUUCUCCUGAAUUAGUGCCUCGUCACUGUAAGCAGUCCUGGAAUUCAGGAACAAUGUUACAGAGAUAAUUAAACAGUAGUUCAGGUAUAAUUUUCAAGGCGGUUAAGAAUUUGGGAUUCAGUCUUGCUGAUAUGGAAUCCCAAAUUCAGUACACUUCGGGGAUGUGGGUCUGGUGAGUGGUGUCAGAGUAGCAGGAAUCUUGGGACUGAGGGAAUAGGUGAUAUUCAUUGUUAGGCAGCUACUUGCUGCAAAUGGCCUCUUCAUGGUUAGACCCUUUUCCAAAUGUCAGGACGCUAGACAUGUAAUGUUGAUUAUACAGGAAAGUCGUGUUUGGUGAUUUGCUUCUUUGAUCUCUCAGCUCUCCCCUCCAUUUUAACAUCACCAAAAUGCCUGAAUUUAGGAUGUGCUAUUUGUCCCCACACCCUGAAAUCCUGUGCUCUGUGCUGCUGGACUAAGUAAGUGGUAAAGAGUGUUGGAUUGCAGUGGGAACUUGCGGUUGAAUUCUCAAGUAUCCUACGUGUUGUCCUUUCCUCCAACUGAGAGAGAAUCUGAGGAGACCAACAAACUUUUGACCUCAGAUCAGAGGUGGAAAGAGGGAGCUUGCAGAGGUAUCAGUUCUGUGGGAGGUUGGAUUAUGACCAGAAAAUGGGAUAGUGACAUGAGGAGUGUGGCAGUGGUGUUAAGAACUUUUCUCCUUGGGGUGCUAGUUGAGAGCCUUUGCUGUCACUCAAUAUAGGGCCCGGAGCUGCCCUUUUGGAGUGAUGUGCUGAAAGAUGGAGCCCCAGUUGGCCCUGUCCUGGGUGAGGAUAUAGACCCGUGAAAAUGUCGGUUCCUAGGUUGAUGGUAAUUGGAAGAGCUUUCUGGGUGACUCUGAAGAAGGCUGUUGGGCUAAGGGUAAAAGACCAGCUGUCACGUACAGGCUAAGGGAUUCAGGACUCUCUUGAGACGUCUCUUUGGGUGGUAACUGGGAUGGUGUUACAGGUGUUGGACAGAAGUCUGAAGUGAGUCAGGGAUGGGAGGCUUCCUUUGUGCUCUGUGGCACAAUCACAGGCACAGUGGGAGGGAUAACGUUACCACCCCUCCUCUCCCUGAAGUGCCUUGUAUACAGCUGUGGGCUGUCCAACUGCAACUCACCUUGGGCUUUCUUGGCCUUCAUGCUAUGUGGAAAAGGGAGAAAAUGUCAUUGUGAGAGAUUUGGAAAAUACAUAACACAAAAAAGAAACACUCUUAUACCCAAAUAAUGAAAAGAAACUGAAGGAAAAAAAUUGUCUAAUUUAUGAGUUGCUUUAGUCCGGGAAGCCUGAGGCCCACAGAAUAAAUACCCAUGUAGAGAAGAUAUCAGUGUUUAGGUGUAGGUUAAGGGUCUUUGCUGAGGCUGGGGAUGGGACAGAACACAAAGCUUCUAGGUUUUUACCCCUUGACGAGAGGGCCUUUCUGGGGGAAGUGCUAUUGUGCAGGUUUUAAAAAAACUUUUGUGCAAAGUACAAAAGAGUUAUCAGAAUUUGGGCUUCUGAGGGAGUCAGGUUUGUUAUAUAUAUAUAUAGAUUUGGGGUUGUAAAGCAGGCAUUGAAAAAUAGCUGUGAGUUUCCAGAGUUUAAGGGGAACAAGGUUGGUAGUUGAGUAUUGGGUCUGGCAACCCUUUCCUGCAUGGUUGAAGGAAUUUGCUCUUGUUGAUGCUAACUGGAAGAGGGGAGCUUAAGGCUGCCUGACCAGAGCCCAAAAGAAACUGGAAUUAAGGUACUGGCUGGAUAGGCCAGCCAUAGACAUAUUUGUGUCUAUCCCAUAAAUGCAAAGCCAGGUGAAGGAUACUGGUUCUAUUACUCUCAUUUCCCCACACAAUUUGAGAAAUGUUUGGUGUAUGUGGUCCUGUAAUGAGGGACAAUGCUUUAAGUUGGAUAGCUGUCUUUACAAAACAACAGCAUUGCCGUAUUUUUCUCACUUGCUAUGCGCCAAUGAAAUCUUUCACCUAAUUGCCACAGUCCUGGAACAGCAUUUAAUUUCUACUGAUCUAGCCCAGCUCUAUGGCCCUAAAAACCAUGGCAUAAUGUCAUGGAGCUUCCCCAUCUUUCUUUGAGCAGAUGGCCAUAGGAAGGGUUUUAGGGUACCAAGAUUAUGGCCUGAAACUUCAUGGAGAUUCUGAAAUCUCUGCUUUAAGGAUUGAUUAGGGUUUCUCACCCUGCUUUUCCCUUCUGGAGUGUAUUUUUCUGUGGCCAUUUUGCAAAUUUCCCGGCAUCUUACUCUUUCAAAAAGCUUGGAAGUUUUCUGGCUCUGAUAUUUUCCCUUUGGUCUAUGUUCUGCCUUUUUCUUAGGUGUUUUUGGCUCUCCUCCCAACUAUUAGGUUGGUGCAAAAGUAAUUGUGGGUUCAGACCAUGAAUUUUAAAUCAUAACUAGGCUCAAACACAUCUUUAUUAAUCAAAAUUGGAACCAUUACCAUCAACACAUUUUUGCCAACAAGACCAAGUUUAUUCCUGUAGUGUAAAAAUCUGCACUUACAGAUUUGAGGAACUCUCAGAAAGCAUUUUCUGCAUACUGCUGGUUGUGGAAGUGUUUUCCCUGCAAAAAGUUGUCGAUGCUUGAAGAAGUGGUAGUCAGCUAGUGGGAGGUCAGGUGAAUAUGGCAGAUGAAGCAAUACUUUGUAGCCCAAUUCAUUCAAACUUUGAAGCGUUGGUUGUGUGACAUGUGGUCAGGCGUUGUUGUGUAGGAGAAUUGGGCCCUUUCUGUUGACAACUGCUGACUGCAGGCGUUGCAGUUUUCUAUGCAUCUCAUCGAUUUGCUGAGCAUACUUCUCAGAUGUAAUGGUUUCACUAGGAUUCAGAAAGCUGUAGUGGAUCAGACCAGCAGCAGACCGCCAGUGACCGUAACCAUGACCUUUUUUUUUUUUUUUUUUUUUUUUUGGUGCAAGUUUGGCUUUGGGAAGUGCUUUGGAGCUUCUCAGUCCAGCCACUGAGCUGGUCUUCACCGGCUGUUGUAUAAAAUCCACUUUUCAUCGCACGUCACAAUCUGAUCAAGAAAUGGUCCAUUGUUGUUGGGUAGAAUAAGAGAAGAUGACACUUCAAAAUGAUGAUUUUUUUUUUUAUUUUCAGUCAGCUCAUGAGGCACCCACUUUUAUUGAGCUUUUUCACCUUUCCAAUUUGCUUCAAAUGCUGAACGACCAUAGAAUGGCCGACAUUGAGUUCUUUGGCAACUUCUCGUGUAGUUGUAAGAUAAUCAGCCUCUAUGAUUGCUCUCAACUGGUCAUUGUCAACUUCCGAUGGCCAGCCAUUAUGCUCCUCAUUUUCAAGGCUGUUGUCUCCUUUGCAAAACUUCUUGAACCACCACUGGACUGUACGUUCGUUAGCAGAUCCUGGCCCAAAUGCUUUGUUGAUGUUGUGAGUUGUCUCUGCUGCUUUAUGACCCACUUUGAACUCGAAUAAGAAAAUUGCUUGAAUUUGCUUUUUGUCUAGCAUAAUUUUUGUAGUGUAAAAUAGACAUAAACAACAAGUAAUAAGUCAUUAGCAAGAAAACAUAGUGAGAAAUACCCAUUAAAAAGAUGUAUAACAUAACCACAUUUAUUUAAGAAUGUAUUCCAGUAUCAAACAGCAAAUUCCAACAAUGCAAAAACCGCAAUUACUUUUGCACUCACUUUAAUAACUUUCAGCUGCUCUUUGGGAAAAGGCCAAACAAUUUCACAACUACAGUAAAAACAAAAAAGCAAAAACAAAAGACAAACCUGUGUGUCUUGCCGCUGAUAACAUCUGGUUUGGUUUUGUUUUCCUUUAAAUGGUAUUUAGUUUCUGGACCCAGAAGCCUGCAGUAGUAAUGACAUACUUCCUGGUAUUCUUGCUUGAGAAUAAUUCUUGGAGUGUGCAACCAUAAAUAGCACGCAUGAUAUGCUUCAACCCAUAGUCUGUCAGAGUCCCCUUGCCACCAUUCAGUUGAAAGACAACUACUUGUCGACAGGGCUUCACGAUGAGUUUCCCGUAGGUAGCUGCCGUGACUCCAGAACUUUUUGAAAAUAAUUUAGAUUUGAAGGCAUUUUGAAGGACAAAUGGAGAGCCUGAGUUCUAGUCCUGGCACUGCCUUUAUUGGCUGUGUGAAUUUUGGCAAAUCUCCAGAUUUCUUUGGGUUGCGGUUUCCUCAUGGGUAAAAUCGGGAUAUUAAUACCUUCCUCACAGUGUUGUUUGGGAGGAUUAGAUGUGCUCUAUAGUCUGUCAUAUCACAUAAAUGCUUUCAAUUUUUGUUAUGACUUAAAAGCCAGUUUUAAAUAUGCCCUGGCCAAGAAGUUGGGGCACACAGAAAAAAAAAUCAACAAAAUUUUGUCUGAGAUCAACCCCUGGGGAACUCAGAGCCCAGCAGAAAAAGCAAAAAUAAAGGGGUUAAUGGGAGUGCUUUUCUGCUCCCCUCACCCCCUGACAAUCUAUUGACUGUUAAACUGUUGGGGAACCCUCUGCCUCUGAGACACAGGGCAACACCAUCGGUGGCUAUUAGAGAUUUUCCUGGAAAUUGGGAAACAGGUGACCAGCUUGCACAGCUGUGCUGCACCCCUGCCAACCACCCAGGCUGGGAGGGCGGUGUCAUACCAGUUGUACAUCCCCAGCACCAGUGCCCUGCCUGGAGAUCUCCACCCUUGAGCCAUUACACCACCAGACCACCCGAAAACAACCUCACAACAAUGCUGAGUUUGGCAAGCACAGACCAGAGGGUGGGUACCUGGGGAGUUGUGGGUCCCCUGGAGAUCCAACCCUCAGCUUCGACUGUACCUUGUGGGGGUGGAGCAUGGCCUGCCAAAGCCCACUUGGGACAAAGGAAACGUGGCAUGGUGUUGCCAGCAGUUGAAGAGGGCUACGGAAACCUAAGAACAGAUGUGGAGAAGGGGGAUCAUCUCUCGCCCCUGCCCCACUUCGCAGUCCACUGUUUUGGAUGCUCAGCAGCUCUUUUCCUGAGGCCUGAUAAGCACAUGCUGAAAGAGGGCCUUUUCUGCUUCUCCAGCUGGUGUACCCCUGCUGAGGGCCAGUGAGCCCUAAGAGCCUACCUGCCUGCUAUUUCUCUCAGGUGUCAUCUAUCGGACUGCACCCUGAAUUACAACACCACCAACAGUACAUGGCUACAACAGACAGCACCUGAAAAAGACACCACGGGAACCUACCUGCAACCAAGGAGCCUGUACAAAGCCUUGGCCCUCUGAAAGCACCCAGAAAUAAAGCCAAUUGAUCAUACACAACAUACACCACAGUCAAAACCCCAAGGGAAAAAAUGAAAAAAAAAAAAUCAAAAUGCCCCAUCUGAAUGAUAGCAAAUUAAAAAAAAAAAAAAAACCUCCAGCUAUUAGCUGGGUAUGGUGGUGCAUGCCUGAAGUACAAGCUACUCAAGAGGCUGAGGCAGAAAGAUCGCUUGAACUCAGGAGGUGGAGGCUGCAGUGAGCCAUGAUUGCACCACUGCCCUCCAGCCUGGGGGACAGAGCAAGAUCCCAGCUCUCCAAGCUUACUCUGGGGAUUCCUUGGCAGAGAGGGGGACUGUUCAGUUUGUUGGAGGCUUCAAAUUUUAUUUUUAUUUCUCUUUGCUGCUUUUUUGGCCAAGAUUUGCUAGAAGCAGCGUAGAUGGCCACACUUUUAUUUUGUCCCACAUUGUUGCUGAGGUGGUGUGCCUUCCUAUCCUGGAUCCAUCCUGUCCCUCAGUGGGGUCCCUAUGGCCAAGUGACUUAAGAGUCAGAAGACUUAGAGCCUGUUGAACAUUCCAGGCCAGCGGGGAAUGUGGUGGGCAGGCACUCAUCAACUCUUCAAACCUUUUAAGCAAUAUAUGAGCCAGAAAUCAAAGCCAAAAAGAAGGUUACAAAAUUGGCUUAUCUGAAAGAAAUCGCCUGAGGGGGAUGAGGCAGAGUGAGAGAAUGAGCCCCCAUGGCCUGGUGUUGGGUCUGAUCACCCCAACAUUCGUGGCACCCAAUGUGGGGCAAAGAAGACCCUGGUGAAGGAACACUACAGCGUGUGAAAGUGGAGGAUGCAUCAUCAGAGGACACUCGAGGACGACUGAAAGAAGCUCUGUGGGAAAGCUGUGUGCUCGGAAGAACCAGGGUGACAAUCAGGUAUCCGUGUGGGUACCCACCAAACAUGAAGAUCUAUCAUGAACCACAGCGUCUAGUGGACCCACCUGUAAAUUGAAGGUUUAAGGAUUGCUUUUUUGCUAUACUAUUGCACAAGAAGGAUAAGCCUCGAUUUGCUUUCUCUAUGCCUUCUGUUAAUCAGAAAAAGCCUGUUUCUCAUUAUCAAUGGUAAGUUUUACCCUGCGGUAAUUAACCAAAGAGGUAGAAGCUGAGUUACAAAUGCUUCAGCAAUAAUAAUAAUAAUAAAAGGCCUUUCUUUUGUUUUGCUAGAUUUACUAAUGUGGGGUGAGGUUAUGCUUGUGUUUUUGCAGGAGAUGAACACCGUGUGGGUGCCCUCAAGAUGUGUAUAACCAUGGAACAGGAGACUGGGGGUACCCAUGGAUCCCAACCAUGGACUGGGUUCCCCCAGUAUGAGCCAUGAGCCAGUUGAAUCUGAAUGUGAAGGUGGAAUGAGGACCGACCAGAGUCAUGCUGACAUCAACCCCCAUAACACAGGGAUAGAUCAAGAAAACCACACAGGAAGCUGAGAAACUGCUGAAGCACCAGGGUUUUACCUUUUGCUGGGAUUCAGAGGUACAACAGAUGCUUAACAGUCCAAUGCUUUCUGACUGAACUCCUCUCUACCCUGAAUACAAGAGACCCUAAGAGUUAGGCAGGAAUAUCAUCGCCCCUAUUCAGCAUGAAGAAGUUACAGAAGACGACCUUCAUCCUUCUGCAACCCUUAGAAUUAAGGGUCCUCUUGUAAAAGGGAAGGGGGAAACACGUAAGAAGCAUUCAAACCAGAGUGACUCCAUUUUGAAUAAGGGCUAAGAAAAAUGAAGCUGGAUCACCAACCAGCAAUUAAGGGCUGCACAGCCUGCAAUUGCCUUGCUCAAUUAAUUUAAAAACAAAAAGAGGACCUUUUGGAUUCAAAGUUGUGUUAUGUUACUCUUAAAUGCCAUCUAGAGGGCAGAGAUGAAAAUCUCAUCCUCGAGAUUGUAAAACUAAAAGAGCAGGUUUUUGAAGCCUCUCAGGCUCACUUAGCCCUGCUCCCUGGAACUGAUACUUUGAACAAGACCGCCAAUGGGUUGUCUACAAUCAAUCCUCUUAAAUGGAUUAAGGCCAUUGGAAGCUCUACACUUGCAGAUUUUAUUCUAAUAAUUAUGUGCUUGUGCUGUCUUCUUUUAGUCUGCAGAUGCAGAAGCCACUGCUGGAGAGAAAGCCGCCAUUGAGAACAAGCAAUGAUAGCUGUGGUAGUUUUACAAAAAAGAAAAGGGGGACAUGUUGGGAGAAACACUGAGUGUUGGGAGAGAAGCUGAGGCAGGGCUUGGAAUAUGUCCAGGGUAAAACCCCUCCUGGCCUUUGGAAUGUGUCCAGACUUGCUGGCUCCUUGCUUCUAGCACUCCCAUUAUCUCAAGUAGCCAUAUGUUUCAAAGAAAAAUGCUAAACUGUCACAGCUGUAGCUCAUUCACUUGAUACACCACUUCCCACCUAGCAUGUCCAGUUCAUAUUGCUGGAAGGGCAGAUUUACAUGCCUUCUGUUUUAUAGUACUAGUGUAGCAGGACCAGUCACAGACAAAACCUCUUGGACACUGGUUUUAGGAAGGAAGAGGCUUUAAUCAGCUGGGACCAUAGGUAGACUCACGUCCCAAGAUCCAAGCUUCUCAAAGUAAAGAUUCAUGUCCCUUUUAUAAGGGCUUACAACUCUAAGGGGUCCAUGUGAAAUGGUCAUGAUACAUUGUGCAAGUGGGGGCUAUGUGAUUGAGGGCUACAUGCAUCAGUGAUGGGGGCUAGCAGAACAGAACAAAGUUUCACAAGUCUUCCUCAAACAAUGUCUGGAAUCUAUAGAUAACACAAGCGAUUAGGUCAGGAGUUGAUCUUUAACUACCAGGCCUGGUUCUUGGUGCCAAGCCAUCUGGCUAUUGAUCUCACUUCUGCUAUUUUUUAACUUUUUGCUGCCUUUUUGAAACAGGAGACAAUGGGAGAGGUGGUCUCCUUCCUUACUAGUUAGGGAAAACACUCCUCAGUCAGAUACAAUACCCAUUUUCAUAAGACAUUUAGGUAAAAGAGACACAAGUACUGUACAUAAAGCCUAUUUAAACAUUCCAACCUUCAUAAUCAUAUCAGCCCUUACAUUUUCAUGUUCUGGCCCCAGGAAACUUUUUCUUUUCCACUCCCAGACCAUUUCACCCUCUCUGGUAAAAAAGGAUUUGGGUUCUCAGCAGCGACUUGAGCCAAGGGACCCAGGCUCUUUUGUCAAUCUUGACUAAUUUGCCUCAACAUUUUCCCAGGCAAUUGUUAAUCAGCUUUCUCAUUGUAACCUUUGCCUUCUGAUUGAAGAAAUUUCUCCAAUCUGGGGCAAAUACAGAAAACUAGUUUGGGGAUUUUUAAUUUUGAAGGACCAGCAGGUUCUCCCUUUGGUCUACCCAACCUUCAAUAGUGUUGUAUUAAAACCUUUGUGGUAUAUAUACAUAUUUCAAUAGCUUUUGGGGUACAAGUGGUUUUUGGUCUCUAAGAAGCUCCAAACUUUCCCUCAUUUUCCUUUCUUCUUCUAAGCCAUCCAAAGUCUUUCAACCUGCCACCCAAUUCCAAAGUUUCUUUCAUAUUUUCCGGUAUUUUUAUAGCAAUGCCCCACUCCUUGGUACCAAUUUUCUGUAAUAGGCUGUUCUUACAUUUUUAUAAAUACCAAAGGCUGGGUAAUUUACAAAGAAAAGGUGUUUAAUUGGCUCAUGGUUCUGUAGGCUUUAUAGGAAGCAUGGUGCUGGCAUCUGUUCAGCUUCUAGGGAGGCCUCAGGAAGCUUGCAAUCAUGGCAGAAGCUGAAGGGGGAGCAAAGGUCAUGCACAGUGAUAGCAGGAGCCAUUGAGAGACGGGGAGGAGGUGCCACACCCUUUUUAAACAACCAGAUCUUGUGAAAACUCACCAUUGCAAGGACAGCACCAAGGGGAUGGCAUUAAACUACGCAUCAGGGAUUCAUUCUCAUGGCCCAAUCACCUCCCACCAGACCCACCUCCAACAUGGGAGAUUACAAUUCAACAUGAGGUUUAGAGGAAACAACAUCCAAACUACAUCAACAUCUUACUUUAUACACCCUGUAUGUAGAAUUUUUUUCUCUUAUAUCUACUAGUUUUAAUCACAUAUAUUAACUACUAUUCUCUUAGUAACCCUCAUUUCUGGUGAAAAACCUAGGAUUACUUAAUGCUGGGAACAGGAUUUCUGCAACAAUGUGACAUGCUCAUGAUGGCUGUCAUGCACACGGCUAGAAGUUGUUGGUUUACUGGAGCAGGGAAAGGAACGCCUGGCCACCUAAAGUGGGAAACUGCUCAAACCACAAACAAUAGCAGGAGCAGCCUGUGCCUUAACAACAUGUUUUUGCUACUGAUAAUCAGCCAGAACCUGUUUCUCUACUCCUCGCUAAGAACGCUUUGUUUCCCAUAAGGAAUGCUUUUAGCUAAUCUAUAACCUAUAGAAACAAUGCUUAUCACUGGCUUGCUGUCAAUAAAUAUGUGGGUCAAACUCUG
This is a long non-coding RNA of Pongo pygmaeus (Bornean orangutan), 11032 nucleotides long. RefSeq lists it as uncharacterized. The transcript has 4 exons. Lineage: Eukaryota; Metazoa; Chordata; Mammalia; Primates; Hominidae. The record is from RefSeq and is a predicted model, not a curated record.